Molecule: ribosomal RNA, 165 nt
Filed under: uncultured bacterium
Lineage: Bacteria
Description: partial 16S rRNA
Rfam family: Bacterial small subunit ribosomal RNA
Source: RNAcentral
UGGGGAAUAUUGCACAAUGGGGGAAACCCUGAUGCAGCAACGCCGCGUGAGUGAAGAAGGUUUUCGGAUCGUAAAGCUCUGUUGUAAGAGAAGAACGUGUGUGAGAGUGGAAAGUUCACACAGUGACGGUAACUUACCAGAAAGGGACGGCUAACUACGUGCCAG